CCUACGGGAGGCUGCAGUGGGGAAUAUUGGACAAUGGGGGGAACCCUGAUCCAGCCAUGCCGCGUGUGUGAAGAAGGCCCUCGGGUUGUAAAGCACUUUCAGUGAGGAAGAACGCCUGGUGGUUAAUACCCAUCAGGAAAGACAUCACUCACAGAAGAAGCACCGGCUAACUCCGUGCCAGCAGCCGCGGUAAUACGGAGGGUGCGAGCGUUAAUCGGAAUUACUGGGCGUAAAGCGCGCGUAGGUGGCUUGAUAAGCCGGUUGUGAAAGCCCCGGGCUCAACCUGGGAACGGCAUCCGGAACUGUCAAGCUAGAGUGCAGGAGAGGAAGGUAGAAUUCCCGGUGUAGCGGUGAAAUGCGUAGAGAUCGGGAGGAAUACCAGUGGCGAAGGCGGCCUUCUGGACUGACACUGACAUUGAGGUGCGAAAGCGUGGGUAGCAAACAGGAUUAGAUACCCGAGUAGUC
RNAcentral lists this ribosomal RNA (465 nucleotides) under Vreelandella stevensii. RNAcentral's name for it is "partial 16S ribosomal RNA". It matches the Rfam family "Bacterial small subunit ribosomal RNA", at positions 338 to 795 of the family's 1533-position model. Lineage: Bacteria; Pseudomonadati; Pseudomonadota; Gammaproteobacteria; Oceanospirillales; Halomonadaceae. The record is from RNAcentral.